CGAACGGUAACAGAGAAUAGCUUGCUAUUUUGCUGACGAGUGGCGGACGGGUGAGUAAUGCUUGGGAAUAUGCCUUAUGGUGGGGGACAACAGUUGGAAACGACUGCUAAUACCGCAUAAUAUCUCCGGAUCAAAGUGGGGGACCUUCGGGCCUCACGCCAUGAGAGUAGCCCAAGUGGGAUUAGCUAGUUGGUAAGGUAAUGGCUUACCAAGGCGACGAUCCCUAGCUGGUCUUAGAGGAUGACCAGCCACACUGGAACUGAGACACGGUCCAGACUCCUACGGGAGGCAGCAGUGGGGAAUAUUGCACAAUGGAGGAAACUCUGAUGCAGCCAUGCCGCGUGUGUGAAGAAGGCUUUCGGGUUGUAAAGCACUUUCAGCGAGGAGGAAAGGGUGUUAUUUAAUAGAUAACAUCUGUGACGUUACUCGCAGAAGAAGCACCGGCUAACUCCGUGCCAGCAGCCGCGGUAAUACGGAGGGUGCGAGCGUUAAUCGGAAUUACUGGGCGUAAAGCGCGCGUAGGCGGUUAAUUAAGUCAGAUGUGAAAUCCCAGGGCUCAACCUUGGAACUGCAUUUGAAACUGGUUAACUAGAGUUUUGUAGAGGGUGGUAGAAUUUCAGGUGUAGCGGUGAAAUGCGUAGAGAUCUGAAGGAAUACCAGUGGCGAAGGCGGCCACCUGGACAAAGACUGACGCUGAGGCGCGAAGGCGUGGGGAGCAAACGGGAUUAGAUACCCCGGUAGUCCACGCAGUAAACGAUGUCUAUUAGAAUUUUGUGGCUAUAUGCCGUGGGAUUCAAAGCUAACGCAUUAAAUAGACCGCCUGGGGAGUACGGCCGCAAGGUUAAAACUCAAAUGAAUUGACGGGGGCCCGCACAAGCGGUGGAGCAUGUGGUUUAAUUCGAUGCAACGCGAA
This 913-nucleotide ribosomal RNA is filed under the name uncultured bacterium. Its description in RNAcentral is "bacterial SSU rRNA". It matches the Rfam family "Bacterial small subunit ribosomal RNA", at positions 63 to 965 of the family's 1533-position model. The record is from RNAcentral.